Molecule: ribosomal RNA, 253 nt
Filed under: uncultured bacterium
Lineage: Bacteria
Description: partial 16S ribosomal RNA
Rfam family: Bacterial small subunit ribosomal RNA
Source: RNAcentral
UACGUAGGGGGCAAGCGUUGUCCGGAUUUACUGGGCGUACAGGGCGCGUAGGCGGUUGGAUAAGCCCUCCGUGAAAUCUCCAGGCUUAACCUGGAAAGUGCAGAGGGGACUGUUCAGCUAGAGGAUGGGAGAGGAGCGCGGAAUUCCCGGUGUAGCGGUAAAAUGCGUAGAGAUCGGGAGGAAGGCCGGUGGCGAAGGCGGCGCUCUGGAACAUUUCUGACGCUGAGGCUCGAAAGCGUGGGGAGCAAACAGG